AAUAGAUACCCCGGUAGUCCACGCCGUAAACGAUGAGUGCUAAGUGUUAGGGGGUUUCCGCCCCUUAGUGCUGCAGCUAACGCAUUAAGCACUCCGCCUGGGGAGUACGGCCGCAAGGCUGAAACUCAAAGGAAUUGACGGGGGCCCGCACAAGCGGUGGAGCAUGUGGUUUAAUUCGAAGCAACGCGAAGAACCUUACCAGGUCUUGACAUCUCCUGACCGCCCUGGAGACAGGGUCUUCCCUUCGGGGACAGGAUGACAGGUGGUGCAUGGUUGUCGUCAGCUCGUGUCGUGAGAUGUUGGGUUAAGUCCCGCAACGAGCGCAACCCUUGUCCUUAGUUGCCAGCAUUCAGUUGGGCACUCUAAGGAGACUGCCGGCUAAAAGUCGGAGGAAGGUGGGGAUGACGUCAAAUCAUCAUGCCCCUUAUGACCUGGGCUACACACGUGCUACAGUGGGCGGUACAGAGGGUCGCGAACCCGCGAGGGGGAGGCAAUCCCAAAAAACCGCUCUCAGUUCGGAUUGCAGGCUGCAACUCG
Molecule: ribosomal RNA, 537 nt
Filed under: uncultured bacterium
Lineage: Bacteria
Description: bacterial SSU rRNA
Rfam family: Bacterial small subunit ribosomal RNA
Source: RNAcentral